RNAcentral lists this ribosomal RNA (363 nucleotides) under uncultured Streptococcus sp. Its description in RNAcentral is "bacterial SSU rRNA". It matches the Rfam family "Bacterial small subunit ribosomal RNA", at positions 1 to 354 of the family's 1533-position model. The record is from RNAcentral. Lineage: Bacteria; Bacillati; Bacillota; Bacilli; Lactobacillales; Streptococcaceae.
CGGCCGCGUCGACUGAUCCUGGCUCAGGAGAACGCUGGCGGCGUGCCUAAUACAUGCAAGUAGAACGCUGAAGAGAGGAGCUUGCUCUUCUUGGAUGAGUUGACGAACGGGUGAGUAACGCGUAGGUAACCUGCCUUGUAGCGGGGGAUAACUAUUGGAAACGAUAGCUAAUACCGCAUAACAAUGGAUGACCCAUGUCAUUUAUUUGAAAGGGGCAAAUGCUCCACUACAAGAUGGACCUGCGUUGUAUUAGCUAGUAGGUGAGGUAACGGCUCACCUAGGCGACGAUACAUAGCCGACCUGAGAGGGUGAUCGGCCACACUGGACUGAGACACCGCCAGACUCCUACGGUCGACGCGGCCG